GACGAACGCUGGCGGCGUGCUUAACACAUGCAAGUCGAACGGAAAGGCCCUGCUUUUGUGGGGUGCUCGAGUGGCGAACGGGUGAGUAACACGUGAGUAACCUGCCCUUGACUUUGGGAUAACUUCAGGAAACUGGGGCUAAUACCGGAUAUGAGCUCCUGCUGCAUGGUGGGGGUUGGAAAGUUUCGGCGGUUGGGUCUGGAAUCGCGGCUUAUUAGCCUGUUGGUGGGGUAGUGGCUUACCCAGGCUUUGAAGGGUAGCCGGCCUGAGAGGGUGACCGGCCACAGUGGGACUGAGAUACGGCCCAGACUCCUACGGGAGGCAGGAGUGGGGAAUAGUGCACAAUGGGCGGAAGCAGGAUGCAGCAACGCCGCGUGCGGGAUGACGGCCUUCGGGUUGUAAACCGCUUUCGCGUGUGACGAAGCGUGAGUGACGGUAAUGGGUAAAGAAGCACCGGCUAACUACGU
This 467-nucleotide ribosomal RNA is filed under the name uncultured bacterium. RNAcentral's name for it is "partial 16S ribosomal RNA". It matches the Rfam family "Bacterial small subunit ribosomal RNA", at positions 28 to 506 of the family's 1533-position model. The record is from RNAcentral.